RNAcentral lists this ribosomal RNA (266 nucleotides) under uncultured archaeon. RNAcentral's name for it is "partial 16S ribosomal RNA". It matches the Rfam family "Archaeal small subunit ribosomal RNA", at positions 717 to 982 of the family's 1478-position model. The record is from RNAcentral.
AGACGUCUACAUUAGACUACCCGGUAGUCCCAGCCGUAAACUAUGCUCGCUAGGUGUCAGGCAUGGCGCGACCGUGUCUGGUGCCGCAGGGAAGCCGUGAAGCGAGCCACCGUGGGAAGUACGGCCGCAAGGCUAGAAACUUAAAGGAAUUGGCGGGGAGCACCACAACGGGUGGAGCCUGCGGUUUAAUUGGACUCAACGCCGGGAAGCUCACCGGAUAAGACAGCGGAAUGAUUGCCGGGCUGAAGACUCUGCAUGACUAGCUG